UGGGGAAUUUUGGACAAUGGGCGAAAGCCUGAUCCAGCAAUGCCGCGUGUGUGAAGAAGGCCUUCGGGUUGUAAAGCACUUUUGUCCGGAAAGAAAUGGCUCUGGUUAAUACCUGGGGUCGAUGACGGUACCGGAAGAAUAAGGACCGGCUAACUACGUGCCAGCAGCCGCGGUAAUACGUAGGGUCCAAGCGUUAAUCGGAAUUACUGGGCGUAAAGCGUGCGCAGGCGGUUGUGCAAGACCGAUGUGAAAUCCCCGAGCUUAACUUGGGAAUUGCAUUGGUGACUGCACGGCUAGAGUGUGUCAGAGGGGGGUAGAAUUCCACGUGUAGCAGUGAAAUGCGUAGAGAUGUGGAGGAAUACCGAUGGCGAAGGCAGCCCCCUGGGAUAACACUGACGCUCAUGCACGAAAGCGUGGGGAGCAAACAGGAUUAGAUACCCUGGUAGUCCACGCCCUAAACGAUGUCAACUAGUUGUUGGGGAUUCAUUUCCUUAGUAACGUAGCUAACGCGUGAAG
This 516-nucleotide ribosomal RNA is filed under the name uncultured bacterium. RNAcentral describes it as "partial 16S ribosomal RNA". It matches the Rfam family "Bacterial small subunit ribosomal RNA", at positions 355 to 864 of the family's 1533-position model. The record is from RNAcentral.